GGAUGAACGCUAGCGGCAGGCUAACACAUGCAAGUCGAGGGGCAGCGGGGUGUAGCAAUACACCGCCGGCGACCGGCGCACGGGUGCGUAACGCGUAUGCAACCUGCCCGUAACAGGGGGAUAACGGGGGAGAAAUUCCCACUAAUACCCCGUAUGGCGGAGGGGCCGCAUGGUUCUUCGGCGAAAGCUUCGGCGGUUACGGAUGGGCAUGCGUGGCAUUAGGUAGUUGGCGGGGCAACGGCCCACCAAGCCUACGAUGCCUAGGGGAGCUGAGAGGCUUAUCCCCCACACUGGUACUGAGACACGGACCAGACGUCCUACGGGAGGCAGCAGUGAGGAAUAUUGGUCAAUGGACGGAAGUCUGAACCAGCCCAUGCCGCGUGCGGGAAGACGGCCCUAUGGGUUGUAAACCGCUUUUCCCCGGGAGUAAUAAGGGCCGUGCGCGGUCCGAUGAGAGUACCGGGGGAAUAAGCAUCGGCUAACUCCGUGCCAGCCGCCGC
This 500-nucleotide ribosomal RNA is filed under the name uncultured bacterium. RNAcentral's name for it is "bacterial SSU rRNA". It matches the Rfam family "Bacterial small subunit ribosomal RNA", at positions 27 to 518 of the family's 1533-position model. The record is from RNAcentral.